Long non-coding RNA from Panicum hallii, 1649 nucleotides. RefSeq lists it as uncharacterized. Lineage: Eukaryota; Viridiplantae; Streptophyta; Magnoliopsida; Poales; Poaceae. The record is from RefSeq and is a predicted model, not a curated record. The transcript is spliced from 4 exons.
GCUCGCUCAUCUUUUUCUACACAACAGUACUGCUGCUUCCUCUCCGCGCCGCCGCAGGCCGCCUCAGCUUCCUCUCCACGCCGCCGCAGGCUUUGCCCCGAUGCGCCGGCUACCCGACGCCCGCCGUGAGUCCGGUGCGCCACCUCCCCAACACGCGGCUAGCCUUGCCUCGACGCGCAGUUGGCCUUUCCCCGAUGUGCUGCCGGCCCGACACCCCGACGCAUGGCCGCGCCGAGCCCGAGGCGCCACCGGCUGACCGCCUGACACAUACGGCCGUCCCGAGCCCGACACGCCGCCGCCCCGACCUCUCAACCCUCUGCACUGUGGGGUUCGUGAAGAUCGUCGACGCCAGCACCAGCUGAGGGAUUUAUACAGUCUGUGAAGUGCAUAUAUUUGGAUAUGCUAGAUCAAAUCUUUCUGAUGAUGGGCUAAGAGAACGCAUUCGUGGGUAUCUCAAAGGAGCCCCAGAAGAUCUUUCAGAAUUUUUGCAAUUGGUGCUCCACCGGCCUCCACCACGGGCAUCCGCGCUACCGGCCGCUGGACCCCGUCACUGGGAUCUCCGCAGCAGGCCGCCGCGCCCCUACCACGGGGAGCAUCCGCCGCUGCCGACGCUCACGCUGCCACCCACAAAACAUGGAUGGCAAUGAGGCAGCAUGACGGCAUGAGGUUGCCGCUGCCGCCCCCCAACCCGCCGCCACACCGGCUCCUCGGGCGAGGCCGGAUCCGGCCUCACCGGCCCUAGAUCCGGCGCCACCACCCUCGGGGCCGGGGCGCACGCCGCCGCCGCUAGUAGACGCACGUCCGCCACCCGGCGCGGUGAGAGAGCAGAGACGGGGAUGCGCGACGAGGGGAGCCGCGGCGGGGCGGCUCACCGCCGGCAAGGAUGGGGGCCGUCGCCGAAGGCUGUCGAUCUGGGAGCUUGGGAUGCCAAGGUGAAGAAGAAUGUGCAAGAGGAGAGUGCCUCGCCGCCACCAUCCUCGCCGCCGCACAGGCUUCUAGCGGCCGGCUCUAGUGGCGGCGUGGCGGGGGAGAGAAGAAGGGGGCCUGGACGGCGGCGGCUAGGGUUGCUGCCCGAGGGGGGCGGCGCGGGGGAGAGAGAAAGUCGGAACCUAGUAAAAAACUUUUUUUUAAUCACAGAAAGCGAUUAUACUACUUCUAUCUAAAAGUAAACGCAGUGGAUUUACAGUUUGAGCACGUUUCUUCCAUGCGUGAGGCACUCGAGCCUACGCUGCUGUGAUUCCAUCGCCAGCAGCCGGUGUGCUCGUGACGAGCACGUAUGGCGGCCGCCAGACCUCGCUAUAGUGGUGGAUCCUCCCCUGGGAGCUAUGCCUGUAUAGAGAUGGCUUUCAUGCAGAGCUCAUGGCAUGGGCACGAGACCGGCUACAAGCUGCUGGUGCUGUGAGGAUGAGCAGAGUUGUCCUGGAGACACACGCCGCCAUUAUGGUGAAGCAGGCCAUCGACGGUUCAGCUUUCGACCUCUCAUGUAACCUAAUCUCCGAACUCAACCAUGUCAUUUGUCAUUACCAUCAACCUAAUCUUGACCUGGGCUCCGACUUGACAAGUUGAUAGUCGAAGGAGCACCUGACUGUAUUUGUGUAUGGGUCGCCGGCGAGUUGCUCGCUCAAGUUGAACAUUGUUUGCUACUUCCC